Long non-coding RNA from Corythoichthys intestinalis (scribbled pipefish), 2800 nucleotides. RefSeq lists it as uncharacterized. NCBI's taxonomy places the organism in Eukaryota, Metazoa, Chordata, Actinopteri, Syngnathiformes, Syngnathidae. The record is from RefSeq and is a predicted model, not a curated record. The transcript has 4 exons.
CUUCCUCAUUUCCACAGCCCCCGGAGGCAAAGGAAACCUGCUAUGGUCUGGUGGUAGAUUAACAAGGGCGGGGUUGCUUCCUACUUUAGGACAGUUUGACGCUUUAUGAAUUGUUUACGUUAUUUGUUGUUUCUUUCUUUGGAGGAAACAACAAUGAUAAGAAACCCCAUCGAUUCCGUAUUAUUUAAGAGUUACUUGACAACAAUUGACUUUGAAACGCUCGACAGUAAACAGCGCUCCUCAUAAAACUAUAAACUCUAACUCAACAUUAUUAAAAACAUACCCGAGUGUAGAUGAGCACAAGGUUUACGUCCCAAAGGGGGUGGUGUUGGUUAAAAGCACUAUCAUUCCAUCCAUCCGUUUUGAUCCGAGCGGGUUAACGUUUCCAUGAGGAGCCGGUCGAACCAUACUCCCCCCUGCACCAUGGUGAGUGUGUCGGCUGUCAACUUUGAGCAGCAGGCCAACCCUCCAGAAGCUAUUUGUCACAAGCUGGUGUUUCAUACUACCAUGACCUCCAAGUGUGUUUGCUGGGAAUUGGGCGCUCUGAGCCAACUGUGAUUGGAAAGCUGCAGAAGGAUGAGGAUGUGAUUAAGUUGUUGGCUGAAAGGACACAUCAACUUGGAUGAAAAGGAGAUGUAACUUUUACCUCAGGGCCAUUCCAUGCUUCUCGGACAGAUACUCAACCAUGUCCUUGGCGUUGCGGAAGUUUUUUUCCAGAGUGCACGGCUCUCCAUCACGCUUCCCUUUGCUGUGCUCAGAGCCAUAGAAGCAAUGUUGAGACUUGUCAUUUCAUGAAAUGUUGAUUUAUUCUGAUGAAUGGAAGCAAUAGAAAUGAUGAAUAACGACAGAAAAAAAAUACCUCCAUAGCGCACUUAUGAAGUCUGAUAAAGAAAACCUACCAUGUAUUGACUUGCAGCAGCAUCACUCCAUAUUGUCAGCCUUUUCGCUGUUAUUUUUGUGCUCAUCCUUGACAGUCUCUGUGUUUUAAACUCGUUGACCGUCUUGUGGUCGUGUUUGAUGUCAUCUGUCAUAAAGACGUGGGCCUCCCUGUCCACACUGUCCUACCCACAUGUAUAAUAGCAUCCUUCAGCAUAUCAUAUUUAUCCAGGUCAUUGUGCCUCAUUUUUCUACUCCAUUGUGUAGAUCUACUGUAUGUGGAAUGAUGACUUCUGAAAAGUGAUGCAGGCAAUAAUGUGAACAUCAAUGGAGAAUUCACAAUAAAAAGAUCGAAGCCUGGGACCUGGGAUUUAUAAUUUAAGCAUCCAAUGUAUCGAAUACAUCGAUAUCAUCCCAUAAUAAGCAAUACAAACCAGCAACACAGGUCGAAAAGGUAAUGAGGAUGCUGGUCAGUUAGCCUGCUAGGUCUGUACUGCAACGUACGUCAUUUUUCUGGCUGGCGCGAUAUUUCUUCUAACUUGUUGCGUGAUCAAGCAUGAGCAAAAUUAAAGACACACUGAUUUUAACUAGAUAUUAUGGCACACUUACCUUGUUUUGAUAAAAAAAAACUCUGUAGCAUGUAUCACCAAGUAUAAAGACACAGCUAUGAAUGUGUGCAACCAGGCUUUGUUUGGCUUUUAUAUCUUAAUGGUUAUUUCGCAUGGAGUGCGAGACGAAAUAGUGGGCAAAAGGAGUGGUUGAUAUUUUUUUUCAAAUAUUUUCUCUUUUUGAUUUUAAUUUUAAUUUUGAUCGAUUAUUCAUCAUUUGAAAUAUCGGAAAAAUGCGUCAGUAACAAAAAAAUCCAAUAAAUCGAUAGUAAAGAGGUACAUACCUGUGACCUAUUUGCAGACGCAAUUUUGUGACGUGAUUUGUUUAAAAGUUAAAAAUUCACCAGUGAAUAUCUUUAUAAAGUCGUUUUUUUACCCAAACCAAAUAGAAAUCAAUUUAUGACUUUAAGCUAAUAAUAAUUGAAAACCCAAUAAAUCGAUAGUAAAGAGGUAGAUACCGGUGACCUAUUUGCAGACGCAAUUUUGUGACGUGAUUUGUUUAAAAGAUAAAAAUUCACGAGUGAAUAUCUUCAUAAAGUCGGUUUUUUUUUUAUCCUAAACCAAAUAGAAAUCAAUUUAUGACUUUAAGCUAAAAAAUAAUUGAAAAUUUGAGUAAAUGGUAAAUGGUGUUAAACUUAUAUAGCGCUUUUCCACCUUUACUUAUUUUGUUUUUAUGGCUGGGUUUAACAAAAGCAGUUGCGAUGUGUCCGUAAACAGGGGUCUCAGGGGUAAAACGAACAAAUUAGAAAUAGUCUGGUGGUAUAUUGCGCGAUUAAACUGCUAUGAAACCCUCUAGACAUAUUGUUCUAUCAAACACAACAAAUCUUUCGUCUUAAAAUACAGUAGUUUAUUUAAAAGUCAGUUGCAGGAGUUUAAACUGCUUUUUCAGUCUUGUAUGUGUUUUCCGCCAUAGGUUGGAAGUCAUCGCUAACCAAUGAGUUAAAAGUCAACAAAAUUUGGUGCCAAUUCGGAUAACCGAGCCGCACCUACUGGUAACCUUCUAUGGCUGAAUGUAGAAUACUGAAAAUGUUAAUACGACUAUCAUGUCUUGGAGCUCAAACUCAACAUUAUGAAUUCUAACCACCUAACAUCCCCUCCAUAGACACAUUAGUAUACAGCAGUGCUUCUCAAUUAUUUUCUGUUAUGCCCCCCUCAGGAAGAUGCCAACGUUUCGUGCGGCUCCAACACUCUGUUGCCACUGUAAAUAGGCUAUAUAAAUUUGUAAUUUAAAAAAAAAUUUAAAAAAAGUAAAAGUGAAAAAAUAUAUAUAUAUAUUAUUAGGGCUGUCAAACGGUUAAAAUUUUUAAUCGAGCUAA